Molecule: ribosomal RNA, 387 nt
Filed under: uncultured bacterium
Lineage: Bacteria
Description: bacterial SSU rRNA
Rfam family: Bacterial small subunit ribosomal RNA
Source: RNAcentral
GAUAAACGCUGGCGGCGUGCAUGAGACAUGCAAGUCGAACGGAUGAUCAGGGCUUGCUCUGAUCGUUAGUGGCGGACGGCUGAGUAACGCGUAGGUGACCUGCCCCGAAGUGGGGAAUAACUGCCCGAAAGGGUGGCUAAUACCGCAUGUGGUGGUGCCUUCACUGGCAUCAGUAAAGCCGCAAGGCGCUUCGGGAGGGGCCUGCGUCCGAUUAGCUCGUUGGUGGGGUAACGGCUCACCAAGGCGACGAUCGGUAGGUGGUCUGAGAGGACGAUCACCCAGACUGGGACUGAGACACGGCCCAGACUCCUACGGGAGGCAGCAGUCGGGAAUUUUGCGCAAUGGACGAAAGUCUGACGCAGCAACGCCGCGUGAGGGAUGACGGCC